This 252-nucleotide ribosomal RNA is filed under the name uncultured prokaryote. RNAcentral's name for it is "partial 16S ribosomal RNA". It matches the Rfam family "Bacterial small subunit ribosomal RNA", at positions 524 to 775 of the family's 1533-position model. The record is from RNAcentral.
UACGUAGGGUGCAAGCGUUAAUCGGAAUUACUGGGCGUAAAGCGUGCGCAGGCGGUUUUGUAAGUCUGUUGUGAAAUCCCCGGGCUCAACCUGGGAAUGGCAAUGGAGACUGCAAGGCUAGAGUUUGGCAGAGGGGGGUAGAAUUCCACGUGUAGCAGUGAAAUGCGUAGAUAUGUGGAGGAACACCGAUGGCGAAGGCAGCCCCCUGGGUCAAAACUGACGCUCAUGCACGAAAGCGUGGGGAGCAAACAG